ACAAGCGGAGGAGCAUUGUGUUUAAUUCGAUGAUACGCGAGGAACCUUACCCGGGCUCGAACGUAAGAUGACUGUAGGUGAAAGCUUACAUCUCUUCGGAGCAUUUUUACGAGGUGCUGCAUGGUUGUCGUCAGCUCGUGCCGUGAGGUGUCGGGUUAAGUCCCAUAACGAGCGCAACCCUACCUUUAGUUGCCAUCAGGUAAUGCUGGGGACUCUAAAGGAACUGCCUACGCAAGUAGUGAGGAAGGCGGGGAUGACGUCAAAUCAGCACGGCCCUUACGUCCAGGGCUACACACGUGCUACAAUGGCCGAUACAGAGGGCAGCUACCUGGUGACAGGAUGCAAAUCUCCAAAGUCGGUCUCAGUUCGGAUCGGAGUCUGCAACCCGACUCCGUGAAGUUGGAUUCGCUAGUAAUCGCGCAUCAGCCAUGGCGCGGUGAAUACGUUCCCGGGCCUU
Molecule: ribosomal RNA, 457 nt
Filed under: uncultured Sphingobacteriales bacterium
Lineage: Bacteria; Pseudomonadati; Bacteroidota; Sphingobacteriia; Sphingobacteriales
Description: bacterial SSU rRNA
Rfam family: Bacterial small subunit ribosomal RNA
Source: RNAcentral